GCCAGCCCGCUCAGAACUUAAAGGAAUUGACGGGGCCCGCACAAGCGGUGGAGUAUGUGGUUUAAUUCGAUGCAACGCGAAGAACCUUACCUGGUCUUGACAUCCCGGAGACCCUUAGGAAACUAGGGGGUGCUUCCAUCUGGAAGAAUCUGGAGACAGGUGCUGCAUGGCUGUCGUCAGCUCGUGUCGUGAGAUGUUGGGUUAAGUCCCGCAACGAGCGCAACCCUUGCCUUUAGUUGCCAGCAGUUCGGCUGGGCACUCUAAAGGGACUGCCGGUGUUAAACCGGAGGAAGGUGGGGAUGACGUCAAGUCCUCAUGGCCUUUAUGACCAGGGCUACACACGUACUACAAUGGCCGAUACAAAGGGCAGCGACACUGCGAGGUGAAGCCAAUCCCGUAAAAUCGGUCUCAGUCCGGAUUGGAGUCUGCAACUCGACUCCAUGAAGUUGGAAUCGCUAGUAAUCGUGGAUCAGCAUGCCACGGUGAAUACGUUCCCGGGCCUC
Molecule: ribosomal RNA, 503 nt
Filed under: uncultured Desulfobulbus sp.
Lineage: Bacteria; Pseudomonadati; Thermodesulfobacteriota; Desulfobulbia; Desulfobulbales; Desulfobulbaceae
Description: bacterial SSU rRNA
Rfam family: Bacterial small subunit ribosomal RNA
Source: RNAcentral